GAUGAACGCUGGCGGCGUGCCUAAUACAUGCAAGUCGAGCGAACAGAUGAGUAUCUUGCUCCUCUGACGUUAGCGGCGGACGGGUGAGUAACACGUGGAUAACCUACCUAUAAGACUUGGAUAACUUCGGGAAACCGGAGCUAAUACCGGAUAAUAUAUUUAACCGCAUGGUUCAGUAGUGAAUGACGGUUUUGCUGUCACUUAUAGAUGGAUCCGCUCCGCAUUAGCUAGUUGGUAAGGUAACGGCUUACCAAGGCAACGAUGCGUAGCCGACCCCAGAGGGUGAUGGGCCCCACUGGAACUGAGACACGGUACUGACUCCUACGGGAGGCCGCAGUAGGGAAUCUUGGGCGAUGGGCGAAAGCCUGAAGGAGCAACGCCGCGUGAGUGAUGAAGGUCUGCGGAUCGUAAAACUCUGUUAUUAGGGAAGAACAAAUGUGUAAGUAACUAUGCACGGUUUGACGGUAGUUAAUCAGAAAGCCACGGCUAACUACGUG
RNAcentral lists this ribosomal RNA (497 nucleotides) under uncultured bacterium. RNAcentral describes it as "partial 16S ribosomal RNA". It matches the Rfam family "Bacterial small subunit ribosomal RNA", at positions 28 to 507 of the family's 1533-position model. The record is from RNAcentral.